GUUGUAUAGUCAAGUAAUUAAGUGCAUGUGGUGGAUGCCUUGGCAGUCAGAGGCGAUGAAAGACGUAAUAGCCUGCGAUAAGCUCCGGGGAGGCGGCAAAUAUCCUGUGAUCCG
Molecule: ribosomal RNA, 114 nt
Filed under: Acinetobacter sp. MF4642
Lineage: Bacteria; Pseudomonadati; Pseudomonadota; Gammaproteobacteria; Moraxellales; Moraxellaceae
Also listed under: 2 other names
Description: partial 23S ribosomal RNA
Rfam family: Bacterial large subunit ribosomal RNA
Source: RNAcentral